UAAGGAAUAUUGGUCAAUGGACGCAAGUCUGAACCAGCCAUGCCGCGUGAAGGAUUAAGGCCCUCUGGGUUGUAAACUUCUUUUAUAGGGGAAGAAAUGUGACGGUUCUCCGUCACUUGACGGUACCCUGGGAAUAAGCACCGGCUAACUCCGUGCCAGCAGCCGCGGUAAUACGUAGGGGGCAAGCGUUGUCCGGAUUUACUGGGUGUAAAGGGCGCGCAGGCGGGAUAAAAAGUCAGUGGUGAAAUCCUACAGCUUAACUGUAGAACUGCCUUUGAUACUUUUAUUCUUGAGUUCGGGAGAGAGAGACGGAAUUCCAGGUGUAGUGGUGAAAUACGUAGAUAUCUGGAAGAACACCAGUUGCGAAGGCGGUCUCUUGGUCCGACACUGACGCUGAGGCGCGAAAGCGUGGGGAGCAAACA
This 422-nucleotide ribosomal RNA is filed under the name uncultured bacterium. RNAcentral describes it as "bacterial SSU rRNA". It matches the Rfam family "Bacterial small subunit ribosomal RNA", at positions 355 to 774 of the family's 1533-position model. The record is from RNAcentral.